RNAcentral lists this long non-coding RNA (953 nucleotides) under Homo sapiens (human). RNAcentral describes it as "HSALNT0213956". The record is from RNAcentral. Lineage: Eukaryota; Metazoa; Chordata; Mammalia; Primates; Hominidae.
CCCAGCCUCACUGCCGCUUUGCAGUUUGAUCUCAGACUGCUGUGCUAGCAAUCAGCGAGACUCCGUGGGCGUAGGACCCCCGCUCCCCACCCCCGAGCCAGGUGUGGGAUAUAAUCUUGUGGUGCACCGUUUUUUAAGCCCGUCGGAAAAGCGCAGUAUUCGGGUGGGAGUGACCCGAUUUUCCAGGUGCCGACCGUCACCCCUUUCUUUGACUAGGAAAGGGAACUGCCUGACCCCUUGCGCUUCCCGAGUGAGGCAAUGCCUCGCCCUGCUUCGGCUCGUGCAUGGUGCGUGCACCCACUGACCUGCGCCCACUGUCUGGCAUUCCCUAGUGAGAUGAACCCGGUACCUCAGAUGGAAAUGCAGAAAUCACCCAUCUUCUGAGUCGCUCACGCUGGGAGCUGUAGACCGGAGCUGUUCCUAUUCGGCCAUCUUGGCUCCUCCCCUGACAUGAAGAGCACAAAAUUUUAAUACUCUUGCAGACAAUUCUGUUGAAUCUGCAUGAUUAUGGCAGAAUUUGUUACAAGACAAAAACUGAAAAAAACUUCCAAGUUUACAAAUAUUUUGGAAAUGUAAGGAGAUAGAUAAGAUUCGAAAGUUACAAUUUCUAUUGAAAACGUCAGUGCUCUAAAUUAUGGCACACAAGAUUUGAAUGAAUCAUAGAGUAGCCAAAUCAUGUAUCCAGAUCUUCUGGAAGACCUGUGGCAGUCUAUUGAAGAAGUGAGCAGUAGGCUUUACAGGAAUUGUGGUGCUGGUAUCUGCUUGGCUUCCAGAGACACCUCAGGAAGGUUACAAUCAUGGCGGAAGUUGAAGGGAAACAGGAACGUCAUAUGGAAAAAACCAGAGCAAGAGAGAGAGAGAACAUGGCGGGGGGGGGGGGGGCAGAGGGAGGAGCCACACACCUUUAACCCUUUUCCUGUUUAAGAAUAAAAAACCCUGCAGCUCACUGCCAA